Mytilus trossulus (common blue mussel) is the source of this 588-nucleotide long non-coding RNA. RefSeq lists it as uncharacterized. Lineage: Eukaryota; Metazoa; Mollusca; Bivalvia; Mytilida; Mytilidae. The transcript is spliced from 3 exons. The record is from RefSeq and is a predicted model, not a curated record.
AGACAAAAACAGAGCUGACACAACACCAACAGAACUUUGGAUAAACAAGGCAUGAAAAGAAAUUUAUACAGAGAGAGCUUGCUAGUACUGGCUGAUUUUAGUAUUUGCAGUUAUAUUGAACCAGACUAAGAUUGUACAUGAUGUACAUGUAGUACCACAAGGGUUCCAAAGUUAUGUUUAUACAGGACAUUUGUACCUCAUACAAGUAUGUUGAGAGAAGUUCAGAACAAGCUAUUAUGUUUGAAGAGGAGUUGUCAGCACGUCAUCAUUGAAUAAAGUCAGUUGUAUUAGAAGUGAAGCCUAAACAGAAAUGAGACAAUUAUCAAAUAAUUCAAAGACUACAUGGAUGUUAUCUGGACUAACAUUUGUAUGACCCAAAUGUGGUAUUUUUCAUAUGAAGACUUACAAGGCAGGCUGUGGCAACAUGUGUAUGCAUUUAACAUGUUUAAAGACUUGAAGAACUUGUACUGCCUUCUUCAGAUUUCAGUAGAAUUUGUUUAAGACAGUAAAUUCUGAGUAUGAAUUGAAGAAUUUUUGCUCAUUUAAAUGAAUUAUGAAAAUGUUUUACAUCUUAAAUAUACAAAAACA